Aptenodytes forsteri (emperor penguin) is the source of this 1577-nucleotide long non-coding RNA. RefSeq lists it as uncharacterized. The transcript is spliced from 2 exons. The record is from RefSeq and is a predicted model, not a curated record. NCBI's taxonomy places the organism in Eukaryota, Metazoa, Chordata, Aves, Sphenisciformes, Spheniscidae.
ACAUAGUAUGUCCUUAUGGAGACACCUGCUCCCAAGGAGACCCAAGAGCAGUGUCACUGCUACUCAGGGUCCCAGAGAAGGGAAAUGUUAAUGCUCCUUCUCAGCUGCAGGACAAGGAGGAGGUCUGGCACUUCUGAAGCUGGAGGCUGUGAUCCGCAGUGGUAACUAACACAGAAAACAAGCAAUGCUUGUCCGGCACCUUGGCUGUUCCUCAGUACAGAACUGUAGCAGAAAAGAAAGAGCUGCUUGGAGGAAUACGAAGAAAUGCAUCGUUCUUAUGGACAACUGUAUCUCUGAAAAACUUAAACUUUCAUAUUGAUAUGGGAGCAGAGGAAAAAUCUGGUUUUCAAUGAAGACUGUUUGGGAAGUGAAAACAUUUUGUUCUCUGUACCCUUGUGGUACUUUCCUAGUACUUUGAAAUCUUCUAGUGAUGUUCACUUAGAAGCAAUGGCUUGCAGUAACCCUCCAGAUAAAAUAACUGUAUGCUGAUUAUAUUCUGAGAUGGUCACACUGAAGGCAGCAUAAGUGCAGCUUGCAUGACGAAGAGUGAAUUGUUGAAUUCAGUUAAAGGAAAUGCCCCAUGCUAAUUUUGACUUCUUGAGGAUCUGGGACAGAACCUUUGUGAAGUAUAAGUUUGCCCUUAUAUUUUUUUUGAAGAAAAAUACAUAUAUAUUAGCACAACUAUGGUCUAGGUCAGCAUUUCAUCUUCUGUGAUUACAUAUAUAUGAACAACCAGACUCUGAAAUAAAAUGUGUAUCCAACCAGAAGUAACACCUUCGAGAGCACCUUCUUUGAUCCUAGGAAGCUGAAUGAGAAUAGCAUUUGGAAAAAUUAGUUAGAACCUGAUGUGUUUCAGUUUGUUUUGCUUUAGAAGUCUUUUAGAAUUUCGCAAAAUAAAGUGGAGGCACAGCGAUACAUAACUUUGUUUGAGAGCCAGAACACACAUGAGAUAGUAUAACCCCUUUGAUUCAGAACUUAUUUUUCUUAGCAAGCUUUUUCAGUCUCUUGUUGCAAUGAGACCUUGCUUCUGACAAUAAUUAGGUCUGACCUUGGGGAGCCAAGGAGUCAAGUUUGUCCUGAGCUUGGUAGUGAUACUGUAUUUCAACAUUGAUUGAGAAAUGUGAAAAACAGUAAUUCUUUUUCUGUAUUUUCUUCUUUUAUCUGUCAUAUAUUUCAUUUCCAUUUUAUGUGCAUGAUGUAUAUAUGGGUACCUGACUUACUGUGAUAAAGUUAUCUUCUGUAUCAAUUUGCGAAUACCAUCUAAAGUUAUGUUUGUCUUUAGAAAAUAAUCAUAAUGCGUAGUGCUCACUGUAUUGCUCACUUAUGGAAGGAAUAAGUCUAAGCUUCUGUUCCUGUCUGGAGCCAAAUGGUUUGGAGUACUUAACAUCAGAGUUAAUGGUUUUAUUUAGGUGUUUUCUGGCAAUACCAUACAGCCAGGAUAACAAAUAUUUUUGACCACAGUUUAUGCAAUGCUUUCUGCUGCAAGCAUGGGUGCUAAAGGAUUUAGGAAGAUCCAACAGUUCUGUGGGUUUCUUGGUUUAACUUUCUGUUUGUGUAUAGUAAAAUAUUUCAUUUGA